RNAcentral lists this ribosomal RNA (390 nucleotides) under uncultured Microgenomates group bacterium. Its description in RNAcentral is "bacterial SSU rRNA". It matches the Rfam family "Bacterial small subunit ribosomal RNA", at positions 982 to 1382 of the family's 1533-position model. The record is from RNAcentral.
AGACAUGUAACUGCAAACCUCUGGAAACAGAGGAAUUCCUUCGAGGGUGUUACACAGCUGCUGCAUUGGUUGUCGUCAGUUCGUGUCGUGGGGCGUCGGCUUAAGUGCCGUAACGAACGCAACCCUGUGCUAUGUUAAAUAUCCAUAGCAGACUGCCUUGGAUUUUUCCAAGGGGGAAGGAGGGGAUGACGUCAAAUCAGCAUGGCGCUUAUAUCUAGGGCUACACACAUGGCGUAAUGGGUGGGACAACGGGAUGCCAAGGCGCGAGCCGGAGCUAAUCCUUAUAAACCCAUCCUCAGUUUGGAUUGCAGGCUGCAAUUCGCCUGCAUGAAAGGGAGUUGAUAGUAAUCGCGGAUCAGCAACACCGCGGUGAAUACGUUCUCGUUUCUU